GAUGAACGCUGGCGGCGUGCCUAAUACAUGCAAGUCGAGCGAACGGACGAGAAGCUUGCUUCUCUGAUGUUAGCGGCGGACGGGUGAGUAACACGUGGAUAACCUACCUAUAAGACUGGGAUAACUUCGGGAAACCGGAGCUAAUACCGGAUAAUAUUUUGAACCGCAUGGUUCAAAAGUGAAAGACGGUCUUGCUGUCACUUAUAGAUGGAUCCGCGCUGCAUUAGCUAGUUGGUAAGGUAACGGCUUACCAAGGCAACGAUGCAUAGCCGACCUGAGAGGGCGAUCGGCCACACUGGAACUGAGACACGGUCCAGACUCCUACGGGAGGCAGCAGUAGGGAAUCUUCCGCAAUGGGCGAAAGCCUGACGGAGCAACGCCGCGUGAGUGAUGAAGGUCUUCGGAUCGUAAAACUCUGUUAUUAGGGAAGAACAUAUGUGUAAGUAACUGUGCACAUCUUGACGGUACCUAAUCAGAAAGCCACGGCUAACUACGUGCCAGCAGCCGCGGUAAUACGUAGGUGGCAAGCGUUAUCCGGAAUUAUUGGGCGUAAAGCGCGCGUAGGCGGUUUUUUAAGUCUGAUGUGAAAGCCCACGGCUCAACCGUGGAGGGUCAUUGGAAACUGGAUAACUUGAGUGCAGAAGAGGAAAGUGGAAUUCCAUGUGUAGCGGUGAAAUGCGCAGAGAUAUGGAGGAACACCAGUGGCGAAGGCGACUUUCUGGUCUGUAACUGACGCUGAUGUGCGAAAGCGUGGGGAUCAAACAGGAUUAGAUACCCUGGUAGUCCACGCCGUAAACGAUGAGUGCUAAGUGUUAGGGGGUUUCCGCCCCUUAGUGCUGCAGCUAACGCAUUAAGCACUCCGCCUGGGGAGUACGACCGCAAGGUUGAAACUCAAAGGAAUUGACGGGGACCCGCACAAGCGGUGGAGCAUGUGGUUUAAUUCGAAGCAACGCGAAGAACCUUACCAAAUCUUGACAUCCUUUGACAACUCUAGAGAUAGAGCUUUCCCCUUCGGGGGACAAAGUGACAGGUGGUGCAUGGUUGUCGUCAGCUCGUGUCGUGAGAUGUUGGGUUAAGUCCCGCAACGAGCGCAACCCUUAAGCUUAGUUGCCAUCAUUAAGUUGGGCACUCUAAGUUGACUGCCGGUGACAAACCGGAGGAAGGUGGGGAUGACGUCAAAUCAUCAUGCCCCUUAUGAUUUGGGCUACACACGUGCUACAAUGGACAAUACAAAGGGCAGCGAAACCGCGAGGUCAAGCAAAUCCCAUAAAGUUGUUCUCAGUUCGGAUUGUAGUCUGCAACUCGACUACAUGAAGCUGGAAUCGCUAGUAAUCGUAGAUCAGCAUGCUACGGUGAAUACGUUCCCGGGUCU
This 1372-nucleotide ribosomal RNA is filed under the name uncultured bacterium. RNAcentral's name for it is "bacterial SSU rRNA". It matches the Rfam family "Bacterial small subunit ribosomal RNA", at positions 28 to 1381 of the family's 1533-position model. The record is from RNAcentral.